RNAcentral lists this ribosomal RNA (497 nucleotides) under uncultured bacterium. RNAcentral's name for it is "partial 16S ribosomal RNA". It matches the Rfam family "Bacterial small subunit ribosomal RNA", at positions 28 to 507 of the family's 1533-position model. The record is from RNAcentral.
GAUGAACGCUGGCGGCGUGCCUAAUACAUGCAAGUCGAGCGAACAGACGAGGAGCUUGCUCCUCUGACGUUAGCGGCGGACGGGUGAGUAACACGUGGAUAACCUACCUAUAAGACUGGGAUAACUUCGGGAAACCGGAGCUAAUACCGGAUAAUAUAUUGAACCGCAUGGUUCAAUAGUGAAAGACGGUUUUGCUGUCACUUAUAGAUGGAUCCGCGCCGCAUUAGCUAGUUGGUAAGGUAACGGCUUACCAAGGCAACGAUGCGUAGCCGACCUGAGAGGGUGAUCGGCCACACUGGAGCGGAGACACGGUCCAGACUCCUACGGGAGGCAGCAGUAGGGAAUCUUCCGCAAUGGGCGAAAGCCUGACGGAGCAACGCCGCGUGAGUGAUGAAGGUCUUCGGACCGUAAAACUCUGUUAUUAGGGAAGAACAAAUGUGUAAGUAACUAUGCACGUCUUGACGGUACCUAAUCAGAAAGCCACGGCUAACUACGUG